RNAcentral lists this long non-coding RNA (317 nucleotides) under Mus spicilegus (steppe mouse). RNAcentral describes it as "lncRNA (ENSMSIG00000021165.1)". Lineage: Eukaryota; Metazoa; Chordata; Mammalia; Rodentia; Muridae. The record is from RNAcentral.
AUGGGCGCGCCCGUCGCGCUGUCCGCAGCCCGCGGGCCCGCGCAGCGCAGCGCGGAGCCGGCGCCUCAGGAAAUGAAGGACUGUGUGUGCCCUCAAGAUGGCGGGGCUCCUGACUUGGAGAAGAGGAAGAAGUCUAUGCUGCACGCAUUGGUUUAUACAACAAGAAGUAUUUGGUUGCAGUACUCCUACAGAACAGCACUCCAUGCCCUGUGACAGUGUGCUUGUGUGAGCUUUCCAGUGACAUUCAUGGUCAGCCAUAGUAAACAGCCUAGAAAAUGAGAUUAUGAAAGAGUGAAUAAAAUCUACUUUAGGGUUCA